GUCUGCUCAGCUCCUUCGCCUGCCACCCGCAGAGUGAGGCCGGGAGCCGGAAUAUGACAUUACGGAUCCCAGCCUCACACUGCGGGUGGCGCGCGAGGGAGCUGAGCAGAC
This is a non-coding RNA of Pelobates cultripes (western spadefoot toad), 111 nucleotides long. NCBI's taxonomy places the organism in Eukaryota, Metazoa, Chordata, Amphibia, Anura, Pelobatidae. The record is from the annotation of a GenBank genome assembly.